CCUGUACCACUUAUAAGAGCUGGAGGACAAACAAGGAGGACGAGGAAGGAACUUCAAGUGAAGAUACCCUCAACAAUACUUCACAGAGAUGUAAGGCGCAUUGUUGUGUUAUUGCCGAUAGAAGAACAAGAAAACCCUACUGGGACAAGAUCUGGCGAAGAGAGAGGCGUGACCUCCUUGGGUUAAAAAAAAAAAACCAGGAGCUCAAGUGGGAGGUGUCAAGUUGAAACAGCAAUUGGUGUAUUUGUGUGAGUGCAAUACCAUCUCCACCCAGCUGGCACGUGGCCUACAGAAAAUCAAGCACACCCGUCUUUCACUCAGGCCUUCAAGAGCUAUAAGUCUACUCAGCACACCUGUGUUGAAAGAACCUCUACAAACAAAGACCUCAUCUUCAAGCUCCUGCAGAAACACCACUGGUUUUCAACCUGCUUGGGUGUCAUGUAUUGAAAAGUACAAGGAUUUAAA
Molecule: long non-coding RNA, 465 nt
Organism: Fundulus heteroclitus (mummichog)
Lineage: Eukaryota; Metazoa; Chordata; Actinopteri; Cyprinodontiformes; Fundulidae
Exons: 2
Source: RefSeq, a predicted model, not a curated record